This 460-nucleotide ribosomal RNA is filed under the name Ladomedaeus fungillus. RNAcentral describes it as "partial 16S ribosomal RNA". It matches the Rfam family "Bacterial large subunit ribosomal RNA", at positions 1951 to 2613 of the family's 2925-position model. The record is from RNAcentral. Lineage: Eukaryota; Metazoa; Arthropoda; Malacostraca; Decapoda; Xanthidae.
CAAAGGUAGCAUAAUCAUUAGUUUUUUAAUUGAAAACUGGUAUGAAGGGUUGGACAAAGGAAAAGCUGUCUUUAGAAUAUAAAUUGAAAUUUACUUUUAAGUGAAAAGGCUUAAAUAUUUCGAAGGGACGAUAAGACCCUAUAAAGCUUUAUAUGUUGUUUAAAUUUAAUUAAGUUAGAUGAUAAAGAUUAAAGUUAAAUAUUAUAUUUUGUUGGGGCGAUGUGAGUAUAAUUUAUUUUAACUGCUUAAAAGAGCUACAAUUAUAAGUGAUUUAUAUGAAAAUGAUCCUUUAUAAAGAUUAAAGACUAAGUUACUUUAGGGAUAACAGCGUUAUUUCUUUUGAGAGCCCAUAUCGAAAAAGAAGUUUGCGACCUCGAUGUUGAAUUAAAAUGUCUAUAUAAUGCAGCCGUUAUAAAAGAAGGUCUGUUCGACCUUUAAAAUUUUACAUGAUUUGAGUUCA